AUUGAACGCUGGCGGCAGGCCUAACACAUGCAAGUCGAACGAGUGGCGGACGGGUGAGUAAUGUCUGGGAAACUGCCUGAUGGAGCCGUCUAACUACUCGAAACGGUAGCUAAUACCGCAUACCCUCGGAUGUGCCCAGAUGGGAUUAGCUAGUCGGUGGGGUAAAGGCUCACCUAGGCGACGAUCCCUAGCUGGUCUGAGAGGAUGACCAGCCACACUGGAACUGAGACACGGGCCAGAAUCCUACGGGAGGCAGCAGUGGGGAAGAUUGGACAAUGGGCGCAAGCCUGAUGCAGCCAUGCCGCGGGUAUGAAGAAGGCCUUCGGGUUGUAAAGGACUGUCAGCGGAGAGGCGUUACCCAAAGAAGAAGCACCGGCUAACUCCGUGCCAGCAGCCGCGGUAAUAC
Molecule: ribosomal RNA, 406 nt
Filed under: uncultured bacterium
Lineage: Bacteria
Description: partial 16S ribosomal RNA
Rfam family: Bacterial small subunit ribosomal RNA
Source: RNAcentral